AUAGUACCACUAAUCAGGAGGUCUAGAAGGAGUCAUAGUACCACUGAUCAGGAGGUCUAGAAGGAGUCAUAGUACCACUGAUCAGGAGGUCUAGAAGGAGUCAUAGUACCACUGAUCAGGUCUAGAAGGAGUCAUAGUACCACUAAUCAGGAGGUCUAGAAGGAGUCAUAGUACCACUAAUCAGAGCUCCUAAAAUGACUCCACAGACAGUGAACUACUUUCUCCAUCCAGCUGUAAAAACAGACGGCAGCUGUUUCAGACUUGGUUCAGGGGUUCUCCAUGGAAACCAGAGUUAAUGUGAAGCUCAGAAGGAACCUUCAGAACAUCAACCUCUAUGGACGGAGGACCAGAACUAAGCCUGGCUGCUGAAGAACCCGAGAAGAAGCCUGAUGGAUGUUGGAGAACAUUCUUUGGUCAGAUGAAGAUCAACGAGUUGGGCUCAGAUGGAGUCCAGAUGUUUGGUGAGAACCUGAGCAGGACUACCAUAGUGGAUGCAGAGUCCUGACAAUGAAGCACGGAGUUCACUAACCCUCGUGUCGUCCUGUGAGUCAAACUGACUCAUUUUACAAUUUGAAAAUGUGAAAAAAAAA
Molecule: long non-coding RNA, 590 nt
Organism: Amphiprion ocellaris (clown anemonefish)
Lineage: Eukaryota; Metazoa; Chordata; Actinopteri; Pomacentridae
Source: Ensembl